AUGGCUUCUUCUUCUCCUUCUUCCCUCCUCUCGGCCGGCGUCUCCAUCCUCCUGAUCCAAGCCGUGGCGGUGAGCGUCGGCGUGGCCACAGCGGGAGACGCGCCGGCGCAGCUGCCGCGGUCGGAGCUGGCGGCCAUCUUCAGGGUGAUGGCCGACCUCCUCGGCGACCCGACGUGGCCGCAGCUCCACCCGCGGCCCUGCACGGACACGCCCUGGCCGGGCCUCCAGUGCGAGCUCGCCCCCGACGACAGCACCCGCCUCCGCUCCACCCGCCUCCACUUCGGCCCCGACGUCUCCACCCCGCCGUGCAGGCCCGGCGCCAGGCUCGCCGCCCCCGCGAUCCUUGGCCUGCCCCACCUCAGGACCCUUUCCCUCUUCGGCUGCUUCGUUGACGCCGGCCCCGUCGAGCUGCCGCCGGCGCUCUUCACCAACGCCUCCUCCCUCGAGCAGCUCGUCCUCAAGUCCAACCCGGGCCUCACCGGCCGGAUACCGGCAACCUUGACCAACCUGAAGAGCCUGCAAGUGCUUAGCCUGUCCCAGAACGGCUUCCACGGCGAGAUCCCCAGGGAGCUCGGCGGCCUCGCCGCGUUGCAGCAGCUCGACCUCAGCUACAACAACAUCACCGGCGAGCAGAUACCGGAGGAGAUUGGAGGGAUGGCAAGCCUGUCCAUCCUGGACCUGAGCUGGAACAGCAUCGGCGGCGGCGUGCCGGCGGCGUUGGGUGGCCUGAAGAUGCUGCAGAAGGCGGACCUGAGCUACAACCGGCUGGCCGGCGUGGUGCCACCGGAGAUCGGCUCUCUGAAGGAGCUGGUGUUCCUGGACCUGAGCCACAACGGGCUGGCGGGCCCGCUGCCAGCCUCGCUUGCCGGGCUGGCGAAGCUGCAGUACCUGCUCCUGCAGGACAACCCCAUCGGCACGGCGGUGCCGGCGGUGGUCGGGUCGUUGCGUCGGCUCCAGGUGCUGGGCCUGUCGGGAUGCAACCUGACGGGGCCGAUCCCGCGGGGCGCGUUCGCGGCGCUGGGGAGCCUGAUGGCGCUGUCGCUGGACCGGAACCGGCUGGACGGGCCGAUCCCGGCGAGCCUCGGCGCGCUACCGCACCUGGGGCAGCUCAACCUGAGCCAGAACCGGCUCGCCGGGGAGAUCGCCCUGCCGGUCGAGUUCGUGGCGCGGCUCGGCAGGCGGCUCGACGUGCGCGGCAACGAGGAGCUGUGCGUCGGCCAGGGCAGGUACAGCGGGCUGCAGGCGAGCUACCUCAGGGCGCCGCCGUGCGUGGGACGGGGGAGCACCAACGGGACGGCCGCGCUGGACGAGGGCACCGCGGGGGUUUACGGACCAGUCGUUGGGUUGGUGUGCCACCUUCUUGUGCUGUUGGUACUCGAGCUGUGA
This 1386-nucleotide ribosomal RNA is filed under the name Triticum aestivum (bread wheat). RNAcentral describes it as "partial small subunit ribosomal RNA". Lineage: Eukaryota; Viridiplantae; Streptophyta; Magnoliopsida; Poales; Poaceae. The record is from RNAcentral.